GACGAACGCUGGCGGCGUGCCUAACACAUGCAAGUCGAACGAAGCACUUUGAUCGAUUUCUUCGGAUUGAAAUUUUAGUGACUGAGUGCGGACGGGUGAGUAACGCGUGGGUAACCUGCCUCACACAGGGGGAUAACAGUUGGAAACGGCUGCUAAUACCGCAUAAGCGCACAGCACCGCAUGGUACAGUGUGAAAAACUCCGGUGGUGUGAGAUGGACCCGCGUCUGAUUAGCUAGUUGGCAGGGUAACGGCCUACCAAGGCGACGAUCAGUAGCCGACCUGAGAGGGUGACCGGCCACAUUGGGACUGAGACACGGCCCAAACUCCUACGGGAGGCAGCAGUGGGGAAUAUUGCACAAUGGGGGAAACCCUGAUGCAGCGACGCCGCGUGAGCGAAGAAGUAUUUCGGUAUGUAAAGCUCUAUCAGCAGGGAAGAAAAAAUGACGGUACCUGACUAAGAAGCCCCGGCUAACUACGUG
This 480-nucleotide ribosomal RNA is filed under the name uncultured bacterium. RNAcentral's name for it is "bacterial SSU rRNA". It matches the Rfam family "Bacterial small subunit ribosomal RNA", at positions 28 to 507 of the family's 1533-position model. The record is from RNAcentral.